UACGUAGGGUGCGAGCGUUAAUCGGAUUUACUGGGCGUAAAGCGUGCGCAGGCGGCCCGUUAAGACAGGUGCGAAAUCCCUGGGCUCAACCUAGGAAUUGCGCUUGUGACUGGCGGGCUCGAGUACGGUAGAGGGGGGUGGAAUUCCUGGUGUAGCAGUGAAAUGCGUAGAGAUCAGGAGGAACACCGAUGGCGAAGGCAGCCCCCUGGGCCUGUACUGACGCUCAUGCACGAAAGCGUGGGGAGCAAACAGG
This 253-nucleotide ribosomal RNA is filed under the name uncultured microorganism. Its description in RNAcentral is "partial 16S ribosomal RNA". It matches the Rfam family "Bacterial small subunit ribosomal RNA", at positions 524 to 776 of the family's 1533-position model. The record is from RNAcentral.